RNAcentral lists this ribosomal RNA (372 nucleotides) under uncultured organism. Its description in RNAcentral is "bacterial SSU rRNA". It matches the Rfam family "Bacterial small subunit ribosomal RNA", at positions 526 to 896 of the family's 1533-position model. The record is from RNAcentral.
CAGAGGGGGCUAGCGUUGUUCGGAAUUACUGGGCGUAAAGGGCGCGUAGGUGGCCUGUUAAGUCGAACGUGAAAUCCCCGGGCUCAACCCGGGAACUGCGUCCGAGACUGGCAGGCUCGAAUCCGGGAGAGGGAUGUGGAAUUCCAGGUGUAGCGGUGAAAUGCGUAGAUAUCUGGAGGAACACCGGUGGCGAAGGCGGCAUCCUGGACCGGUAUUGACGCUGAGGCGCGAAAGCCAGGGGAGCAAACGGGAUUAGAUACCCCGGUAGUCCUGGCCCUAAACGAUGAAUGCUUGGUGUGGCGGGUAUCGAUCCCUGCCGUGCCGAAGCUAACGCAUUAAGCAUUCCGCCUGGGGAGUACGGUCGCAAGGCUG